CAUAAUCUGGGUUUGUGGUGGAUAUUUUACUUGGUCUAUUCCGAUAUAGAUUUCUAUCAUCCUCAACUUUUCGGCCUUUUUUAUAUUUACAUUACAAGUUCUAGCAACUUUAUUGAAUGUUUCUGAGCUGUUUGUAAUUUACUCAAAGACCCCCGUUUUAGUUUGAGGAGGCACUGAGCAGAAGGGCAGACUCGUCUUUCUGAGCGUCCAGGUGAGAUGAUGUCAAACAAGCCAAGAUCAGAAGCCAUGAACUCCAGCACCCGUACAAGCCAAAGGAGAAAAAAACUGUAUUUUUCUGCAGAUUUUGGUGUAGGCUUUAGAAUUUAGUUUCGAACUGUAAGCAUUAUUAUCACGAAUGACAAUAGGUUUAGAAAACUUGAUAAUUGUAAAGAUAAGGGUUUCAUCUUGCUCACUAGUCAAGGCCUUCCACUUGGAAAGACUUGAGCUUUUGAGUUGGAAAAUCAGGCAGUAUCAACAUGAUGUUAAUCCAUCAUUCAAUUGCAACUUGGAAGCUCCAGUUUGCAAUUCUCA
This is a long non-coding RNA of Momordica charantia (bitter melon), 531 nucleotides long. RefSeq lists it as uncharacterized. Lineage: Eukaryota; Viridiplantae; Streptophyta; Magnoliopsida; Cucurbitales; Cucurbitaceae. The record is from RefSeq and is a predicted model, not a curated record.